CACCGCCCGUCACAUCACGAAAGUGGAUUGUACUAGAAGUCUGCGCGCUAACCCGCAAGGGGGGUAGCGGCCCAAGGUAUGAUUCAUGAUUGGGGUG
This 97-nucleotide ribosomal RNA is filed under the name uncultured bacterium. Its description in RNAcentral is "partial 16S ribosomal RNA". It matches the Rfam family "Bacterial small subunit ribosomal RNA", at positions 1388 to 1482 of the family's 1533-position model. The record is from RNAcentral.